Molecule: non-coding RNA, 103 nt
Organism: Chelonia mydas (Green sea turtle)
Lineage: Eukaryota; Metazoa; Chordata; Testudines; Cheloniidae
Source: Rfam
CUGCUUCGGCAGCACAUAUACUAAAAUUGGAACAAUACAGAGAUAAUGUGCAUGGCCCCUGAGCAAGGAUGGCAUGCAAAUUCAUGAAGCAUUCCAUAGUUUU